GUUGAUUUUGAUCCUUGGUGCUGUGUGGUGAGAAGCCUGAGACGUCGGCUCAUCUAUUCUAAUGGUGUAAGAAGGUAAGGGAGGUUUGACCCCUUUUAUUUAAUGCUAAUAUUGCUUCUAUUUUAUGAAACAAGGAUUCUGGGUCAGCUUUGGAUCGCUUGGCGUGGUUGCGUGUUCAUGGAAAUUCAAAGGAUGUUCCUCGGCUCUUUGUGGCGUUAUGGCGGAUUUGGACCAUUGUAAUCAG
RNAcentral lists this unclassified non-coding RNA (244 nucleotides) under Hevea brasiliensis (rubber tree). Lineage: Eukaryota; Viridiplantae; Streptophyta; Magnoliopsida; Malpighiales; Euphorbiaceae. The record is from RNAcentral.